This 75-nucleotide transfer RNA is filed under the name Rattus norvegicus (Norway rat). Its description in RNAcentral is "tRNA-Ser-AGA-7-1". It matches the Rfam family "tRNA". From Rfam's summary of the family: Transfer RNA (tRNA) molecules are approximately 80 nucleotides in length. Their secondary structure includes four short double-helical elements and three loops (D, anti-codon, and T loops). Further hydrogen bonds mediate the characteristic L-shaped molecular structure. tRNAs have two regions of fundamental functional importance: the anti-codon, which is responsible for specific mRNA codon recognition, and the 3' end, to which the tRNAs corresponding amino acid is attached (by aminoacyl-tRNA synthetases). tRNAs cope with the degeneracy of the genetic code in two manners: having more than one tRNA (with a specific anti-codon) for a particular amino acid; and 'wobble' base-pairing, i.e. permitting non-standard base-pairing at the 3rd anti-codon position. The record is from RNAcentral. Lineage: Eukaryota; Metazoa; Chordata; Mammalia; Rodentia; Muridae.
UUCGGGGAUUUAGCUCAGUGGUAGAGCGCUUGCCUAGAAAGCACAAGGUCCUGGGUUCGAUCCCCAGCUCCGAAA